This 28-nucleotide non-coding RNA is filed under the name Cricetulus griseus (Chinese hamster). Lineage: Eukaryota; Metazoa; Chordata; Mammalia; Rodentia; Cricetidae. The record is from RNAcentral.
AGUAUGAAUUUGAGCAGGUGAGGACCUG